This 329-nucleotide unclassified non-coding RNA is filed under the name soil metagenome. RNAcentral describes it as "partial contains 5.8S ribosomal RNA, internal transcribed spacer 2, and large subunit ribosomal RNA". The stretch from base 1 to 120 matches the Rfam family "5.8S ribosomal RNA", at positions 35 to 154 of the family's 154-position model. The record is from RNAcentral.
GAUGAAGAACGUAGCGAAAUGCGAUAAGUAAUGUGAAUUGCAGAAUUCAGUGAAUCAUCGAAUCUUUGAACGCACAUUGCGCCCCCUGGUAUUCCGGGGGGCAUGCCUGUUCGAGCGUCAUUACAACCCUCAAGCUCUGCUUGGUGUUGGGCCCCGCCGCCCCGGCGGGCCCUAAAAUCAGUGGCGGUGCCGUCCGGCUCCGAGCGUAGUAAUUCUUCUCGCUCUGGAGGUCCGGGUGUGUGCUCGCCAGCAACCCCCAAUUUUUUUCAGGUUGACCUCGAAUCAGGUAGGGAUACCCGCUGAACUUAAGCAUAUCAAUAAGCGGAGGA